This 371-nucleotide ribosomal RNA is filed under the name uncultured bacterium. RNAcentral's name for it is "bacterial SSU rRNA". It matches the Rfam family "Bacterial small subunit ribosomal RNA", at positions 527 to 896 of the family's 1533-position model. The record is from RNAcentral.
GUAGGGGGCGAGCGUUGUCCGGAUUUACUGGGCGUAAAGCGCGUGUAGGCGGGACUUUAAGUCGGGUGUGAAAGCCCGGGGCUCAACCCCGGGAUGCCGCCCGAGACUGGAGCCCUUGAGGACGGAAGAGGGGAGUGGAAUUCCUGGUGUAGCGGUGAAAUGCGUAGAGAUCAGGAGGAACACCCGUGGCGAAGGCGGCUCCCUGGUCCGUUUCUGACGCUGAGACGCGAAAGCGCGGGGAGCGAACGGGAUUAGAUACCCCGGUAGUCCGCGCCGUAAACGAUGGUCACUAGGUGUGCGCGGUAUCGACCCCGCGCGUGCCGUCGCUAACGCAGUAAGUGACCCGCCUGGGGAGUACGGCCGCAAGGUUG